Molecule: ribosomal RNA, 332 nt
Filed under: uncultured bacterium
Lineage: Bacteria
Description: bacterial SSU rRNA
Rfam family: Bacterial small subunit ribosomal RNA
Source: RNAcentral
CGUGUAGGCGGCUUCUUAAGUCUGAUGUGAAAGCCCGGGGCUUACCCCCGGAAGGGCAUUGGAAACUGGGAGGCUAGAGUACCGGAGAGGAAGGUGGAAUUCCUGGUGUAGCGGUGAAAUGCAUAGAUAUCAGGAGGAACACCGGUGGCGAAGGCGGCCUUCUGGACGGAUACUGACGCUGAGACGCGAAAGCGUGGGGAGCAAACAGGAUUAGAUACCCUGGUAGUCCACGCCGUAAACGAUGGGCACUAGGUGUUCGGGGUAUUGACCCCCUGAGUGCCGCAGCUAACGCAUUAAGUGCCCCGCCUGGGGACUACGGCCGCAAGGUUAAA